RNAcentral lists this ribosomal RNA (731 nucleotides) under Rhizoctonia solani. RNAcentral describes it as "eukaryotic LSU rRNA". The stretch from base 296 to 449 matches the Rfam family "5.8S ribosomal RNA". The record is from RNAcentral. Lineage: Eukaryota; Fungi; Basidiomycota; Agaricomycetes; Cantharellales; Ceratobasidiaceae.
UCUUGGUCAUUAGAGGAAGUAAAAGUCGUAACAAGGUUUCCGUAGGUGAACCUGCGGAAGGAUCAUUAUUGAAUUUUAAUGAAGAGUUUGGUUGUAGCUGGUCUAUUUAUUUAGGCAUGUGCACACCUCCCUCUUUCAUCCCACACACACCUGUGAACUUGUGAGACAGUUGGGGAAUUUAUUUGUUAUUUUUUGUAAUAAAAUGAUAAUAAAUCAUUGAACCCUUCUGUCUACUCAACUCAUAUAAAAUCAAUUUAUUUUAAAUGAAUGUAAUGGAUGUAACACAUCUCAUACUAAGUUUCAACAACGGAUCUCUUGGCUCUCGCAUCGAUGAAGAACGCAGCGAAAUGCGAUAAGUAAUGUGAAUUGCAGAAUUCAGUGAAUCAUCGAAUCUUUGAACGCACCUUGCGCUCCUUGGUAUUCCUUGGAGCAUGCCUGUUUGAGUAUCAUGAAAUCUUCAAAAUCAAUCUUUUUGUUAACUCAAUUAGUUUGAUCUUGGUAUUGGAGGUCUAUUGCAGCUUCACACCUGCUCCUCUUUGUGUAUUAGCUGGAUCUCAGUGUUAUGCUUGGUUCCACUCAGCGUGAUAAAUUAUCUAUCGCUGAGGACACUGUAAAAAGUGGCCAAGGUAAAUGCAGAUGAACCGCUUCUAAUAGUCCAUUGACUUGGACACUAUUAUUAUGAUCUGAUCUCAAAUCAGGUAGGACUACCCGCUGAACUUAAGCAUAUCAAU